CUUUUUCAUGACAUUUUGUCAAAUUGCCAUGACUAUGUAUUCCUGAAAAUGUCAGUCAACAUUAUACAAUAGGAAUAAAAAUACAGUAUGUUCAAGUUUACCCUCAGAGGUUUAACAAUAAAAUGGAUGACAAUUUAUGUGGUUCAAUCCAAAAUAAACAUUUAUUUACACACACAAAGCAAGAUCUUUAAGGGACUGGACAUAGGGUAAA
Long non-coding RNA from Etheostoma cragini (Arkansas darter), 211 nucleotides. RefSeq lists it as uncharacterized. The transcript has 3 exons. The record is from RefSeq and is a predicted model, not a curated record. NCBI's taxonomy places the organism in Eukaryota, Metazoa, Chordata, Actinopteri, Perciformes, Percidae.